UAUAUGAAUUAAGCUUAUUAAA
This 22-nucleotide small nuclear RNA is filed under the name Arabidopsis thaliana (thale cress). RNAcentral describes it as "snRNA_03659". The record is from RNAcentral. Lineage: Eukaryota; Viridiplantae; Streptophyta; Magnoliopsida; Brassicales; Brassicaceae.